GUCCUCGAUCCGAUCGCGACGAGUGAGCUUUCGGAGUGGUUCGUUUCUUCUGCUUCGCGUAUGUCUCUCCAUGGAAGGUCUCUCUCAGGAAGAAAGUAGCAAAGCGCACACGCAAUAAGGCAACGGGUUCGCUCGAAACCAGCGGCACGCUACGGCGGCGAUUUAACUCCAACCCGAAGCCUUGGAAGAAAGUUGCGUUUCUUUUUGCAUUCGCGGCGCGCUAGAGAAGAGAAACACCUGGCCUCGCGUUCGAGUCUUCGUCGCGGUUCGUGUCUGUCUUACGCUGUACACUAUUACGGGGUCCGUUUUGUGGACCGUUGGGGGCUUCCCGGUAGACAGUUCAACAGUAACCGCGCUUCGAGCAAGACGUUUUCCCUCCCGACAGAAACAGCCCCGAAGAAAUUCGAAACGACGAAACGCGAUUCCGCAAGGAGAAAACGGUAGCACUUGUUGUAGCCCCACAGUUCAACGGGGCCUUAACGGACUUGCGCGCGUUCCCUUCUAUUCCCCCUCAGUCCUUCCCGGAGAAGCGAGAGUUGCUUAAUCCCAAUAUUCGGCGAUUGCUUGGGACCAGAGAUGCCCGGAGGUCGUCCUUCGAGCUCUCUUUCAGUGUGGUGACAUCGCGCGAUAGAUAGUCACACAGUGUUCGGAAACCGGAUGUUAGAAGGUGUUGCGCGAUCAGACGACAAGUGAGAGUGAUCACCAUUAUUGGAUUCGCGCAGUGCGCAGUGCCGCAUGCCGAAGCGUUGAAGAGUGUUCAGUGGUCGUAGAAGAAAGAUUCAUUGGAAAGUACGAGUGACAAAGUCAGAUUCAACUCUGCGUUCGAAUAUCUGUGUGCCGUAUUCCGCUGACCAUUUGCAAGAAGAAAGCGAGAAAGUGAUUCGCUGAAACAGUACCAGUGUGUCGUUGAGGCGUACAUUCGUGCACCCACCUCGGGGGAAGUUUGCGUAAUGAAAAUGUGAAAUUGGUGACAGUGGGAAGUGAGCUCCUUUUCUGGAUUUGGAAUAUUUUCGAAACAACAAAUAAAGUGAAGUGAGGAUUUCUGUUCGAAGAGAAAAAAGGGAAUUGUGGAUUCGGAUUAAGGGCUGAACUUGUCUUGAGACGGACGACGGAUUUGGAGGGAACAGAAGAACGGUUGGACUUGGAAGGCUGAACAAUCGAGAAAGUGGAUUAUCGUCGUGGAAGCAGUGAUGACGCGUCGUAAGCACCUUUACCAGCUGUUGCUGGUGCUACUGGGAGUGAUGGCCAGAGCGCAGGAUGUCUCGGAAGAAGAACCGACGGCAUCCCCACAAGUAGCAUCCCUCGUUGUUAACGGAGGCAGCAUCAGCACAAAUAACGCCGGAGGACCAGGAGGAAGCUGUAGCUUUCCCGGGGCCCCGGCCCACAGCACGGUACAAUUCACGGACGACGCUCUGCCGAACGGAGCGGUCGCUUCCUACUCCUGCGAGCGGGGCUUCGAGCUGCUCGGACCGGCCCGGCGGGUCUGCGACAACGGCCAAUGGGUUCCCGAGGGUAUCCCCUUCUGCGUUCUAAACGUGGCCGCCGGGAAGGCCCCGAUGCAGAUUUCCACCGAUGCCGCCGGAAUCCCACAGAAAGCCAUCGACGGAUCCACGUCGGCUUUCUUCUCACCGGAAACGUGCUCCCUGACCAAGCCGGAACGCGUUCCCUGGUGGUACGUCAACCUGCUGGAACCGUACAUGGUGCAGCUGGUGCGACUGGACUUUGGCAAGUCGUGCUGCGGCAAUGGAAAACCAGCGACGAUCGUGGUUCGGGUGGGCAACAACCGUCCGGACUUGGGUACGAAUCCGAUUUGCAAUCGGUUUACCGGUAGCCUCGAGGAAGGACAGCCCCUAUUCCUGCCGUGCAACCCACCAAUGCCCGGAGCGUUCGUAUCGGUCCAUCUAGAAACGAGCGGCCCCAGUCAGCUAUCGAUUUGCGAAGCGUUCGUCUACACGGAUCAGGCCUUACCGAUCGAGCGGUGUCCGGCGUUCCGCGAUAUGCCCCCGGGUGCAUCGGCUUCCUACAACGGCAAGUGCUACAUCUUCUACAGCCGUCAGCCAGCUACGUUGCGCGAUGCUUUGGCCUUCUGUAGGUCCCGCGGUGGAACCUUGAUCAACGAGAGCAACCCGGCACUGCAGGGAUUCAUCAGCUGGGAGCUGUGGCGUCGGCAUAGAAGCGAUACCUCGUCGCAGUACUGGAUGGGAGCCGUGCGGGACACUCAGGAUCGGAACAGCUGGAAGUGGAUCGGCGGCGAUGACGUGUCGGUUUCGUUCUGGAACCUGCCCGGAGGCGAUGAGGACUGCGCCCGGUACGACGGAUCCAAGGGAUGGCUGUGGAGCGAUACCAACUGCAACACACAGCUGAACUUCAUCUGUCAACACCAGCCUAAGGCAUGCGGACGCCCGGAGCAGCCGCCAAACUCGACUAUGGUAGCCCCGAAGGGCUUCGACGUAGGCGCUGUCGUUGAAUACAACUGCGACGAAGGACAUCUGCUCGUGGGACCAUCGCAGCGUACCUGUCUGGAAACUGGAUUCUACAACGAAUUCCCUCCCGUUUGUAAAUACAUCGAAUGCGGUCUACCGGCUGCCAUUCCGCAUGGACACUACGAUCUGGUGAACGGAUCCGUCGGUUACCUCAGCUCGGUUCACUACAAGUGUAACGAAGGCUACGAAAUGGUUGGACGCGCCCUGCUGACCUGUGACAUCGAUGAACGCUGGAACGGACCGCCACCACGUUGCGAAGUGAUCGAAUGCGAACCGCUGCCGACGUUGUUCCCGAACGGAGUUGUAGUGGCGCCCAACGGCACAGAUUACGGAUCCCGAGCGGAGGUUGUUUGCAACCGUGGAUACAUUCCAGAGUCCGAUGAGACGCACAUCGUUUGUACGGCUACCGGCCAGUGGAGCAAUCUGCUGCCGAAGUGCAUUGAAGACCCAGCGAGCAAGACAACGACGCCACCCCCAACGACAACGCGUCCACCAAUUGUGGUUGUAUCGACGACAACGGUUCCAGUUACUCAGUACACGCAGAAGCGACCUCAGACGAGAAGGCCCACAAGACCAACCAGCCGGUUCACGACAACUACGACCACAACUCAAUCGCCGCUGUUCAGCAUCGAGAUUGACGACGGUAACGACAGUGACGGCUUAGACGGGUUCUACGUCGGUACUAACGAGGAUUACUCUCUCCCACCUCUAGAAGUCCGUCCGGGUCACGAAGAGGGACCCUCGCGUAAACCGUACCGCCCCGGCCAGAACACGAUACCAAAGAUUCCAAACGCACAUGUGCCACCGCCGAAACGGCCGUCGUACUACGAACCACCAACCACAUCCACGACUACUACAACAACCACCACUACCACUACACAAACACCAAUACAAACACGCCCUACUACGACUAGCACACGGCAGACUACCACCUCGCGUUCGCCGCAGGACAUUAUCCUGUCGCAGCAUCCGCAAGACAACGAAAUCGCAGGCUCCGUCAACAUCCGGCAGGAUCAAUCGCCGAAGGUCAACGUACCAUUCGCCGUCGAUAACUCGGACGGUGAGAGUACCGGCGGAGUCUAUGGCGGCAUCGGAGGCAACUCGAACCUUGGCUCCGGUUCCGGAGAUCGGAAGGAAGCCAAGAAUGCCCGCCUCAAUCUGGGAGCCAUCGUGGCGCUCGGCGCCUUCGGUGGUUUCGUAUUCCUAGCGGCCGUCAUUACCACCAUUGUGAUCGUAGUGCGAAGAAUGAAUACAUUAUAUUCAACGGCGAGGGCACACAAGAAGAAUACAUUCUCCUACUCCUAGGGCGUCUAGGGGGAGAAAGCUAGGCGUGAGGCCGUGACGAAUAUGUAACUGACAAAGAUCGAGAAGACCUCCACGAACCUACUCCGAAACAACUUCCAAAGCGCACCGGUCACAAGUCACGAGAGAUUUCAACUGUCACUGCCUUCUAUCGACUGUCAGUCUGUCUCCUUCAGCCUGUCUCUAUCAAUCUUCAACCUUCCUAGCGCUCACGCACAUCUUUAUCCACGCUCAGCUCACGCCAGAGAUAGCAUUGCGUCUCCAAAACGUGAAGAGAAAAGGACAGUGGCUCCAUCUACUGAGAGACUCAAGCAAUCCCUCUUCCUCUCACGCUAUCUCUCUCACUCUCUUUCCCUGAAUCAACCUACCAAUCGAACAAGAUUUCCAUUAAUCUAUUGUUUACUGCCCUGCCCGAAACAAAACCUCGCUCAUCCCGCCAAAAACUAAAUCCCCGAUCAAUCUUCAUAAAACCAACCCUGUAAACCCGUAAACCAUUGAACCCAGUUCAUCGCCGGAUCAUCCAAUCGGUAGCCCCGGUAGCAUCCCCAUGCGCUGCUAUCUUCCGAGGGCCGCCGAUUCCCUACGACCAGCGGCACGCCGCUUCUUUUCUCAAGCCACUCCCGGCACUACCAAUGGCGCUCCCAAUACCAACACAACCACCGCCACUACCGGAAAGUACUACUUCUCCGACAUUGUCAAGGCCCGAGACCUGAACAACAACGCCCCAACGUCCAACCAGAAGAACAAGAACAAGAAAGACAAAAAAGCAGCCAAGGGCUCGAACAAGGACGUGCCCUCGCGUUGGUAUACUGUAUUGGCACUACCAUUCCCGGAUCAGACCGUCGGACGACGCGACAUUCUUGGUACGGCUUAUGGACGUCGGCGUCGGCAACAACUAGAGCAGCAGCAACAACGGGAAGACGAACGACCACGGGUACUACGGCCAAAGAAGUCAACGCCUUCACCGGCGCUAUCACCAUCGCCACAGACAGCGACUUCCAUCACCACCUCCAAGGCCAGUAACAUACGACUCUUCUCAAAUAGCGCCGAUCUCAGCGAUUCCGUAGUGAGUAGCCUAGCUGUGUCACCACAGUUUUACCGGCGACCAUCUACCAUCGAAUACUACCGCCCCGAUUCGCAGUCUACGUUAUGAUCACUUCUUAGACUGCUCAAAGGCACAGAGCCACCACCGCUGGUGAAUCGUAUCGAUUCACCCGCUCGGGAGCGUUCGUCGCUGCUUCACCAUCAUCUGCGCUUCUACCGACGCCAUUACCACCACUAUUACAAACACUACCUUAAUCAAACGACGUGCCAUAACCAUACCAAUACUAACGUACAAAUUCGUAACCAUACAAUAAACCGCCAGGCGAACCAGCACUACCGGCACCGGGCCUCGCCGGACUGCAACACGGUGGCCUCGUUCUCCAGCUCCAGUUCCGAGUCGCGCAACGGCCUCAACCGGUACUACCGGCAGGCGUGGGAAAAUCUGCACGAGUCCGCCUCCAAGGGCCACAACAGCAACAGCAACCACAGCAGCGGCCUGAAGCGGAAGGAAACGAUGGAUGCGCCACCGCCGAGCCGGUCGCGCUCGCGGGAGAACCUCGGCGGCAGCCGGUCGCGGGAUCUGGACAGAUCCCGGGAGAACCUGUCGUCCAACCGGAGCCGGGACUAUCCCCGGGACAGCAUGGCCGUGCGGGACGGCUCCGAGAUGGUCGUGUCGGACGUGUGCGUCAAGGGCGAGAAGAAACGGCACCACCACCAUCACCACAAGAGCAGCCACCGCGGCGGCGGCGGUGAAGGCCAGGAACGAAGCCGCGGAAACCACCGGGACAGCCGGGACGGAGACUUCCGGGAGCCGAACAUCAUGGGCAGCGGCGGCAACGGUGGAGGCAACGGACGCCGAGGCGACCACCGCCACUACUGACCCCGUAGAAUGGUAAUCACUAUCAGAAUGGAAGGACCGUACAAGGACCGCGACGAGGACGAAGGUCGCCGGGUUCUGAUGAGCCCACUGUGGGAGUGACCACCUAGAAAGAAAACGGGACUUUAGAUGAUUCUAACCUCUCUUCUUCCCUAUCCAACUUUCACCUUCAAUUUCCUCUACAAUUGUGUACGUAUUUAUUUAUUAUCGGAUAGUUUCACUAGUUCUUAGGACGUUGCUCACAUUUUUCAGUGCAGGAAGCCAUUCCUAAAAAAAAAACAUUAAAAACCAAACGCACCUUAGCAGUUAAGUCGACCGAUAGUCAAGACACAAACCAUACCUAACCUUGUCGAUUAGUUAAUCGUUUGACCUGUGCACCAACUCGACAUCUACACCCACACUGAAAGAAAUUUUCUUCCCAUUUUGAUUGUGAUUUACCAAUAAUUUUUUUUUUCUGAGUUUCUUAUCCAAUCCUUUCGCGCCCUUAGCUGACGAACGCAUGACAAAAGUUGGAAAAUUUCUUUCAGCAAAUUCGCUUCACGAGCCAAACUUUCGAAUGGGGAUUCGAUCUUGACCGCGUCUAAACCCACAACGCAAACACGCAACAUAGAAGUGCGCACACAAACACACACAAUCUAGACACAAUUCGUCGGAUGACGUUUAGUCACGGUCGACAUUGCUACCCGUUGCACCCUGUUCUCCCCUUUUCUCCCUUUUGACAAAAGGCUUUUGUUAAUGUUUCUAUCUCGUCAUAAGUCGUUAAUUUAUUUCAUUCGUUUGUUUGUACUAUUGUUUCGUUCUAUCCUCCCAAAAAAACGAAGCGAUUUACCGAAAAUUUGUUAUCACUUUUUGUGUUGUUAACGUUAACCUUCAAGGAAACGAAGUGAAAAAAGAAGAAUAUCGCUGAAGAAAAAAGAAAAUCUGCAAGGCUUCGCUUCUCUUUCAAAGAGUUUGAAAAAAAUGGAAGACCUCAGAGCAGAAAACAAAAAAAAAGAAGAAAAAUGACAAGCACACACAUACUAACUUGUAGAAAGAGAAAGAGACAAAGAUUAGGAGAAACGAAACCGCAGUUGCAAUAUCGAGUUCUAGUGGACAAUUAGGCAAACAAGCAAACAAUUAUCGUUGUUUUUGUUUUUAUUAGGAAAUUGAAUUAGGAAAAAGAAAAUUAGGCUGACAAUUACUGACAUUCCCGAUUGUUUGUUUUUUAUAUAGACAUAGAGUGCCAUUACAAAGGCAUGCAUAAUCCUUUUUGCUAUUGGUAAAUUCUCUCUCACAAAUUACUCUCAAGUAGGUUUUCUCGGUCUUUGGAAUUUGUCAGAAUCGACAACCUAAUCUAGCAGUAAAAAGAAAAAACAAGUAAAUGCAUUUCAGUAUUUUUCCCAUUGGUUUGUUAACACUUACACCCUUUAUUCGUUUUUAAGGCAAAUAUUUAGGAGAAAUAAACACAAAACGCGCGCGCUCAAAUGUACGUUGUGAAUUUGGAAACCAGUUUCGCUAGGUUAUACACUAUGUAAAUCGGUUUAGACUUAAAAACUAACGCAUACAUAUACGUAGAAACACACAUACACACGAGUAAGCUAUCUGGUUUUAGCAGUUUACACACAGACAACCGAAGCGAAAAAGUUACUAAAGAAGAUAGUAGGAAAUACUGGCCGCUAAGUGUACCAGUAGACCGGACAUUCAAUGACGGAUUGGAGGAAAAGAAAAAAAA
This is an RNA transcript of Aedes aegypti (yellow fever mosquito), 7417 nucleotides long. RefSeq lists it as uncharacterized. The transcript is spliced from 9 exons. The record is from RefSeq and is a predicted model, not a curated record. Lineage: Eukaryota; Metazoa; Arthropoda; Insecta; Diptera; Culicidae.